ACGAACGCGUAGCGGCGUGCUUAACACAUGCAAGUCGAACGGAAAGGCCCUUCGGGGGUGCUCGAGUGGCGAACGGGUGAGUAACACGUGGGUGAUCUGCCCUGCACUUUGGGAUAAGCCUGGGAAACUGGGUCUAAUACCGAAUACACCCUGCUGGUCGCAUGGCCUGGUGGGGGAAAGCUUUUGCGGUGUGGGAUGGGCCCGCGGCCUAUCAGCUUGUUGGUGGGGUGAUGGCCUACCAAGGCGACGACGGGUAGCCGGCCUGAGAGGGUGUCCGGCCACACUGGGACUGAGAUACGGCCCAGACUCCUACGGGAGGCAGCAGUGGGGAAUAUUGCACAAUGGGCGCAAGCCUGAUGCAGCGACGCCGCGUGAGGGAUGACGGCCUUCGGGUUGUAAACCUCUUUCAGUACCGACGAAGCGCAAGUGACGGUAGGUACAGAAGAAGCACCGGCCAACUACGUGCCAGCAGCCGCGGUAAUACGUAGGGGGCUAGCGUUGUCCGGAUUUAUUGGGCGUAAAGCGCGUGUAGGCGGCCAGGUAGGUCCGCUGUGAAAACUCGAGGCUCAACCUCGAGACGUCGGCGGAAACCAUCUGGCUAGAGUCCGGAAGAGGAGAGUGGAAUUCCUGGUGUAGCGGUGAAAUGCGCAGAUAUCAGGAAGAACACCCGUGGCGAAGGCGGCUCUCUGGGACGGUACUGACGCUGAGACGCGAAAGCGUGGGGAGCGAACAGGAUUAGAUACCCUGGUAGUCCACGCCGUAAACGAUGGGUGCUAGGUGUGGGCGGUGUCGACUCCGUCCGUGCCGAAGCUAACGCAUUAAGCACCCCGCCUGGGGAGUACGGCCGCAAGGCUAAAACUCAAAGGAAUUGACGGGGGCCCGCACAAGCAGCGGAGCAUGUGGUUUAAUUCGACGCGACGCGAAGAACCUUACCAGGGCUUGACAUGCACUGGAAUGUCGUAGAAAUACGCCAGCCCUUCGGGGCCAGUGCACAGGUGGUGCAUGGCUGUCGUCAGCUCGUGUCGUGAGAUGUUGGGUUAAGUCCCGCAACGAGCGCAACCCCUGUCCUAUGUUGCCAGCGUGAAAGACGGGGACUCAUAGGAGACUGCCGGUGACAAAUCGGAGGAAGGUGGGGAUGAUGUCAAGUCAUCAUGCCCCUUAUGCCCUGGGCUACACACGUGCUACAUUGGCCGGUACAGAGGGCUGCAAACCCGUGAGGGGGAGCGAAUCCCAAAAAGCCGGUCCCGGUUCGGAUUGGAGGCUGAAACUCGCCUCCAUGAAGGCGGAGUUGCUAGUAAUCGCGGAUCAGCAACGCCGCGGUGAUACGUUCCCGGGCAUUGUACACACCGC
Molecule: ribosomal RNA, 1350 nt
Filed under: uncultured bacterium
Lineage: Bacteria
Description: bacterial SSU rRNA
Rfam family: Bacterial small subunit ribosomal RNA
Source: RNAcentral